GGGCUAGUAAAGGUUUCGACGGGGUACAUGCAGCUGGAGAAGCGAGUCGUAUGGCGAUGCGUUAAAUGGCCAAAUUAAAAUUAAACGCUGAAGAUAAUUUAGCAUACGCUGCCUAAUGGCAGCAGUCUGACCUAGAGCACUCACACUUUAGGACCGAGGGAAUGUUAAAUAAUAAACUACACUCGUAGAAGGACAGGGAAUUGUAUUUCGGACACGGGUUCGACUCCCGUCUAGUCCACUA
Molecule: transfer-messenger RNA, 241 nt
Filed under: Agathobacter rectalis
Lineage: Bacteria; Bacillati; Bacillota; Clostridia; Lachnospirales; Lachnospiraceae
Rfam family: transfer-messenger RNA
About the family: Bacterial tmRNA, also known as 10Sa RNA or SsrA, is named for its dual tRNA and mRNA-like properties. Its role is to liberate the mRNA from a stalled ribosome. To accomplish this part of the tmRNA is used as a reading frame that ends in a translation stop signal.
Source: RNAcentral